GAUGAACGCUGGCGGCGUGCCUAAUACAUGCAAGUCGAGCGAACGGACGAGAAGCUUGCUUCUCUGAUGUUAGCGGCGGACGGGUGAGUAACACGUGGAUAACCUACCUAUAAGACUGGGAUAACUUCGGGAAACCGGAGCUAAUACCGGAUAAUAUUUUGAACCGCAUGGUUCAAAAGUGAAAGACGGUUUUGCUGUCACUUAUAGAUGGAUCCGCGCUGCAUUAGCUAGUUGGUAAGGUAACGGCUUACCAAGGCAACGAUGCCUAGCCGACCUGAGAGGGUGACUCGCCACACUGGAACCGAGACACGGUCCCGACUCCUACGGGAGGCAGCAGUAGGGAAUCUUCCGCAAUGGGCGAAAGCCUGACGGAGCAACGCCGCGUGAGUGAUGAAGGUCUUCGGAUCGUAAAACUCUGUUAUUAGGGAAGAACAUAUGUGUAAGUAACUGUGCACAUCUUGACGGUACCUAAUCAGAAAGCCACGGCUAACUACGUG
RNAcentral lists this ribosomal RNA (497 nucleotides) under uncultured bacterium. RNAcentral's name for it is "partial 16S ribosomal RNA". It matches the Rfam family "Bacterial small subunit ribosomal RNA", at positions 28 to 507 of the family's 1533-position model. The record is from RNAcentral.